RNAcentral lists this ribosomal RNA (466 nucleotides) under uncultured bacterium. Its description in RNAcentral is "partial 16S ribosomal RNA". It matches the Rfam family "Bacterial small subunit ribosomal RNA", at positions 339 to 795 of the family's 1533-position model. The record is from RNAcentral.
CUACGGGGUGCUCCAGUGAGGAAUUUUGCGCAAUGGGGGCAACCCUGACGCAGCAACGCCGCGUGAGUGAAGAAGGCCUUUGGGUCGUAAAGCUCUGUCGACAGGGAAGAAGUUAUCCAGGGUAAACAGCCUUGGGUAUUGACGGUACCUGUGGAGGAAGCAUCGGCUAACUCCGUGCCAGCAGCCGCGGUGAAUACGGGGGAUGCAAGCGUUAUUCGGAAUCAUUGGGCGUAAAGGGCACGCAGGCGGCCUUGCCAGUCAGAUGUGAAAGCCCGGGGCUCAACCCCGGACGUGCAUUUGAAACAGCAGGGCGUGAGUACGGUAGAGGAAAGCGGAAUUCCUGGUGUAGAGGUGAAAUUCGUAGAUAUCAGGAGGAACACCGGUGGCGAAGGCGGCUUUCUGGACCGAAACUGACGCUGAGGUGCGAAGGCGUGGGUAGCGAACAGGAUUAGAUACCCUUGUAGUC